RNAcentral lists this non-coding RNA (24 nucleotides) under Arabidopsis thaliana (thale cress). The record is from RNAcentral. Lineage: Eukaryota; Viridiplantae; Streptophyta; Magnoliopsida; Brassicales; Brassicaceae.
CACGUUGUGUGCCUUACAAUACGG